This 1426-nucleotide long non-coding RNA is filed under the name Nicotiana tabacum (common tobacco). RNAcentral describes it as "long non-coding RNA (NTAB_LNC017185)". The record is from RNAcentral. Lineage: Eukaryota; Viridiplantae; Streptophyta; Magnoliopsida; Solanales; Solanaceae.
CACCACAUCUGUAGAAGUACACUGUGUUGUCUUGCAAUGGUCCAAUCACAGUAUGGUGUAUCAUUCCAGAACUAUAUAACAGGUAACUGUACUUGGUACUUUCUCCUUGAGCUUUAAAACUGUAUUUUCCAGUAGAUGUUCCAUAUUCAAUAAUUGAAGGAGAAGAUUUAUCAGUUGUGACCCAUGACACCCUUAUGUGUUUGUCCCCAGCUAAUGAGAUGUGAACCUGCCAAGAGAAUAUCAAUUCACAUGAUUAAAUAUACAGGCUCCAUUUAUUCACCAAAACAGCAUACAUGUAACUUAAGGAGGAGAUAACAGGCUCCAUUCCUCAUGCUUCUCAAAAGUAUUUCCAUCAAAAUAUGAGUAAGUCUUCCGUACCAUCUUCCUCCCAUUUCCUUUCCUUUGAAUUUUGUUCCUCUUCCAGAUAUGAAAAAUGCAGCUUUAACAGAUGUGUUUCUUUUUCUUAUCUAAAAUCCAAGUUCCAAACUGUGACCUUAGGAGUUAGGACAAUGUAACCACCUUUACCCCCCCCCCCCCCCACAACAAACCAAGAAGCACCCUUUCGCCAUUAUUACACUCCACUAACUAAUGUCCAUGGAAAGAUUUUAGGUCCUCCUAAACAGGACAUAAAACCAACUUGAACAAACAAAAAGAAAAUGAAAGACCGGAUAAUGAAAAGAACCUUGGCGUCUACGAGCUUUAUUAAUGCUAACUUAGUUACAUUGCAUUUGGAACUGUGGAGGUCAUAGAAAGCAACACCUAGAAAAUCAUAACUUCUUUUUUAUUAAGUAUGAAAUACAGACACCAAUUAAAAUUGGUAACUCCAACAGCUCAAAGAUCAGUGAGGAAUAACAAAGUUUUAGCAAAACAUUCACACCCGCCAGAAACCGUUAACAGACAAAAAAAAUACUAAUAAUUAAGCUCCCCUGAUUUCAUAGCAAUUAUAACAAAGACUAAGUUGUACUCCUAGACUAUGCUAAGCUACAGUAUCCAGCUGUAAUCCGGAUUCAAAUCAAAAAAACUUGAGUAAAAUCAGUUGAAAUUGACACCAAAUGACAUAAACGAGAAAGGCAUGGGCGGAUCUACAUGUUGCAGCUGAAAUUUUUGCUUAAAAUAUAAAUAUAUAUAUGAUUAGUAAGUCCGCACUGUCAUAAAAAGAAAUACACUCCCCAUCCCAUUUUAUGUGAUGUUGUUUGGCUAUAACACAGUUUAAAAAAGAAAUAUUUUUAAAACUUGUGAUCUAAAUCAAGUGAUAGAUAUUUACUCCAUAAAUUAUCUCCUUAAGGUAAAAUAGAAAGUUUAGAACUAAACUACUUCUAAAUAGAGAAAACUUUUUUUUCUAGAGACACGGAAAGUGCAUCUCAGAAAUUGAAGGGGAGAGAGUAAUGAUUAUACUGACUUAAAAUUGUGAAUCCACAUCAAAGCA